GAUUAUGUCGGGCCGAUUAAUCGAGAUGGCGACAUAACCUCGAAUUUUGCCACGGUACGACAGCAGUUCCCUUGGUAAAUUAAUCAUUUCAGCAGCUGCUGUCAUAUUAGCAAGAGCGGAUAAGACAAAUGAACGUCGUGGAGCUUGUUAAGACGUAAUCCGAGAGAUACGUCGUGGUCCUCUCCCUUUUCGCUUCCCGUCAAUUUUCUCUUUCUCACUCUUACAGCCUCACUCUACCUACCUCUUAUCCAGCUUUCACCCAUGUCCAUCUCAUCGUGGAUUACAUUAUUAAGGGAUCCCGCCAUUUUGACUCAUGGUCCUCGUCAUCUGUUUACAUGAGUCUACGAAUUUUUAUUUAUUUUAUAUCAAUUCCAGAGACACGACGGCCAUCUUGUUCACGUCCCUUCAGAAACAGUUUUCUCAGUGAUCUCCCGAUAGUAUCUCGCGGCAAGAGAAAAAAGAAAAAUGGUCUCGGACAACCGAAACCCACAGUCCGCUUCGUCCGUUACGAGUGUUACCGUGAUUUCGAGCUUCUAAAGAUUGAAGAUAGUGUCAAUGCGGGCGCCACCGUUUACAACGAGCGGAGUGAAUCAUUUUAAAAUACUUGGAAUGACUACGAGUAACAUCUGGUGUCUAGGUUGUCCUUCUCUUCUGUAUAGAACAUCUACCGGAUACGAAUAAUCUAUCAUGCUAUCAAAUAAUCCAAAAAAAUUUUCAAGAGUGCUUACGAAGAAGCGCAGAACUGUUUCUUUGCCGUGGUAUUAUCGCCAUUACUGCUGUCACUCGAGGUAGAAUCAUUCCUGACAAACGGUUCGGACAUCAGGACCUUGUAAUACGAAGAUUUAUCGAUGAGUAUCGAAAUCCCUAGGAUCUUGGACACCUGUUGUGUGAGACUGUCGUGUCGUGACCUACGUCGCCAUUAGUCGCAGGGAGCCUGGAUCCGAAGACAAAGGUUAAUUUGGUACGUGUUGUAAUCCGUCCCGUCGCACGGUCCUGGAACUCUCCUGCAGGAUGACAGGAUGAGGAUUAGCAGCUUGUCCCGCCAAGGAUUAUAUCGGA
Molecule: long non-coding RNA, 1059 nt
Organism: Cephus cinctus (wheat stem sawfly)
Lineage: Eukaryota; Metazoa; Arthropoda; Insecta; Hymenoptera; Cephidae
Exons: 3
Source: RefSeq, a predicted model, not a curated record